UACGUAUGUGGCAAGCGUUGUCCGGAUUUACUGGGCGUAAAGAGCGCGCAGGCGGUCGUUCAAGUCGAGUGUGAAAGCCCCCGGCUCAACUGGGGAGGGUCACUCGAUACUGAUCGACUCGAAGGCAGAAGAGGGAAGCGGAAUUCCCGGUGUAGUGGUGAAAUGCGUAGAUAUCGGGAGGAACACCAGUGGCGAAGGCGGCUUUCUGGACCAAUACUGACGAUCAGGUGCGAAAGCGUGGGGAGCAAACAGG
This 253-nucleotide ribosomal RNA is filed under the name uncultured bacterium. RNAcentral describes it as "partial 16S ribosomal RNA". It matches the Rfam family "Bacterial small subunit ribosomal RNA", at positions 524 to 776 of the family's 1533-position model. The record is from RNAcentral.